RNAcentral lists this ribosomal RNA (169 nucleotides) under Mucochytrium quahogii. Its description in RNAcentral is "labyrinthulid quahog parasite QPX partial Eukaryotic large subunit ribosomal RNA". The record is from RNAcentral. Lineage: Eukaryota; Bigyra; Thraustochytrida; Thraustochytriidae.
AAUUUAUUGUUUAGUUUGCACAUCCGAUGAUCAGUGGUAGACCAAACUGAAAUUUUUGUUUAAGGGUACUUUGUUAUGGCAUGAAAGUGCGGUGAUUUAGCUUUUGGAUAUGGUAUUAUAAGCAUGAGAGUAGCCUUGGCCUGCGAUCUGUUCAGAUUUGGCCUUUGUG